This is a non-coding RNA of Cinara cedri, 319 nucleotides long. NCBI's taxonomy places the organism in Eukaryota, Metazoa, Arthropoda, Insecta, Hemiptera, Aphididae. The record is from the annotation of a GenBank genome assembly.
GUAGAAGUCUAUCAGAAUAUUUAUGGAUUAAACAACAAGAAUCGUCAUUUAAAUGCUUCAAAGACAAAAUUACCCGAUUGAGUGUCCGGGAUGCUUCAAAAUAUAACUCGAGCGGUCCGGACUACCCACUCUUGUACUGUAGGUUCAUGUAAUUAUUAUUCCGUAUAUAUACUUUAUAAUGUUAUACUUUUUAAUUUGUAACUCAUUUUUCGAAAAUAUAUAUCGGGUACUUUUUUUUUUCCCACGGCGAACACGUGACGGCGAAACAGUCCCGUUCACGUGUGCAUAUAUACUUUACUCACAAAUCUACCGAAGAUUC